Molecule: ribosomal RNA, 495 nt
Filed under: uncultured bacterium
Lineage: Bacteria
Description: partial 16S ribosomal RNA
Rfam family: Bacterial small subunit ribosomal RNA
Source: RNAcentral
GACGAACGCUGGCGGCGUGCCUAAUACAUGCAAGUAGAACGCUGAAGGAGGAGCUUGCUCUUCUGGAUGAGUUGCGAACGGGUGAGUAACGCGUAGGUAACCUGCCUGGUAGCGGGGGAUAACUAUUGGAAACGAUAGCUAAUACCGCAUAACAGAAGAUGUUGCAUGACAUUUGCUUAAAAGGUGCAAUUGCACCACUACCAGAUGGACCUGCGUUGUAUUAGCUAGUUGGUGGGGUAACGGCUCACCAAGGCGACGAUACAUAGCCGACCUGAGAGGGUGAUCGGCCACACUGGGACUGAGACACGGCCCAGACUCCUACGGGAGGCAGCAGUAGGGAAUCUUCGGCAAUGGACGGAAGUCUGACCGAGCAACGCCGCGUGAGUGAAGAAGGUUUUCGGAUCGUAAAGCUCUGUUGUAAGAGAAGAACGAGUGUGAGAGUGGAAAGUUCACACUGUGACGGUAUCUGACCAGAAAGGGACGGCUAACUACGUG